This 75-nucleotide transfer RNA is filed under the name Streptomyces sp. NA04227. RNAcentral describes it as "tRNA-Gly". It matches the Rfam family "tRNA". Rfam says of the family: Transfer RNA (tRNA) molecules are approximately 80 nucleotides in length. Their secondary structure includes four short double-helical elements and three loops (D, anti-codon, and T loops). Lineage: Bacteria; Bacillati; Actinomycetota; Actinomycetes; Kitasatosporales; Streptomycetaceae. The record is from RNAcentral.
GCGCCGGUGGUAGCAACAGCAGCACAUCCGCCUUCCGGGCGGGAGGUCCAGGUGCGAAUCCUGGCCGGCGCUCCA